RNAcentral lists this non-coding RNA (26 nucleotides) under Cricetulus griseus (Chinese hamster). Lineage: Eukaryota; Metazoa; Chordata; Mammalia; Rodentia; Cricetidae. The record is from RNAcentral.
GAGUGCUGAUGGAUUACACACCUCUG